RNAcentral lists this ribosomal RNA (363 nucleotides) under uncultured bacterium. Its description in RNAcentral is "bacterial SSU rRNA". It matches the Rfam family "Bacterial small subunit ribosomal RNA", at positions 68 to 422 of the family's 1533-position model. The record is from RNAcentral.
UGAUGAAGAAGCUUGCUUCUUCUGAUUUAGCGGCGGACGGGUGAGUAACACGUGGGCAACCUGCCCUGUAGAUUGGGAUAACUCCGGGAAACCGGGGCUAAUACCGAAUAAUCCAUUUCCUCUCAUGGGGAAAUGUUAAAAGACGGUCUCGGCUGUCACUACAGGAUGGGCCCGCGGCGCAUUAGCUAGUUGGUGAGGUAACGGCUCACCAAGGCGACGAUGCGUAGCCGACCUGAGAGGGUGAUCGGCCACACUGGGACUGAGACACGGCCCAGACUCCUACGGGAGGCAGCAGUAGGGAAUCUUCCACAAUGGACGAAAGUCUGAUGGAGCAAUGCCGCGUGAGUGAAGAAGGUUUUCGGA